This 1179-nucleotide long non-coding RNA is filed under the name Betta splendens (Siamese fighting fish). Its description in RNAcentral is "lncRNA (ENSBSLG00000026148.1)". The record is from RNAcentral. Lineage: Eukaryota; Metazoa; Chordata; Actinopteri; Anabantiformes; Osphronemidae.
CAUGAACCGACCAUGUAGGCAGAAACCCAAUGAGGGAGCUGGGAGCAGAGACAGCGCUGUACUGUAAGAGCACCCAGAUAAUCUGGCAGCUGACUGAGAAAGGAAGGAAUGUACUGGGGAGGUAAUGAAGCAGCAAGCAGCAGGUGUGAGGGGAGGUUUAGUGGUGUAGGUGAUGUAACAGAGGGGAAAUGAGAAUGACGGGGUCUGAAAUGGCAGCAGAGGCUAAUGACUGAAGACAACGAGGAGCAGAGAGUGGACCCGCGCGUGGCCAGAAGCAACAACGCUUCCUGCACCAGCGUUUGUGUUCCUCAGAUAACAGGCCAUUUUCCAUUUUCAGAACAGCCGACCUUCAAGAAAGUCCAGUCGAAGCAGCCAACUCACAUGAGCCCACGACAGACUGGGCAGUCAUUCUUUAAGGUUGUGGAAGCUUCUCUCCAGGGGCUUGUGAACGUGGGAGCGAGGCUUGUUUCACCUCUAAGCUGAAGUGACCAGCCAAGAUGUUUGCUGGAGAUGAUGUUCUGUGGGAGCUGGUGUCGAAGGUGCUGCUGAGCGACGCCUCCAGCUGAGUGUCGCAGGUCGGAGCCUGGUGCAUCGCGUCCCCCUGGAUGAGCGUGACUGGGACGUGAGGCUGCGCUGGAUGGGAAGCCUGCAGUCAGGAUGCAGUCAACGGGUGCAUGGACAACAAUUGAUUAUGACAGAGUUGCAAUUUUGUUACUGACCAAUAGAUCUGCUAUUCAUUAUUUAGAAAAAACAUUAGGACGAUGGCCGUGAUGGUGAAGCUCAGAUGCUGCAGUUUCCUGUCAUUGACCGGCUGUUACGUCAGUAAACUGAUUAGAAGUGGUUUUGGUUUAUUAGGAGGUAAAUUGUGAGCAGGUUACUGAUUAGGCUUCUUCUUUGAGUAAUCAAUAUUCUCAUUGCUUGAAUUAGAGACAGUGUUGAAGAUGUACUCAACCUGCUUAAGCACCUGUAGAGGCCACGUUACGUUCUGGGCUGCAUAAAUGGUGCCUUUAAGUUCACUGUCAGAGUCCGAGGUUUCAGCUUCACCCCAGGUCAGGCAACACGUCAGCCUUCGUGGCAUUAAUGGAAGAUGGAAGAAGAGUCAUCGCAGCAAUGCUUUCUGCUGAACCGGGCCUGUUCACUGACCCGGCUCUAUGUUCACCCAACCCAAUGUUAAUUAAA